GAUGAACGCUGGCGGCGUGCCUAAUACAUGCAAGUCGAGCGAACAGAUGAGGAGCUUGCUCCUCUGACGUUAGCGGCGGACGGGUGAGUAACACGUGGAUAACCUACCUAUAAGACUGGGAUAACUUCGGGAAACCGGAGCUAAUACCGGAUAAUAUAUUGAACCGCAUGGUUCAAUAGUGAAAGACGGUUUUGCUGUCACUUAUAGAUGGAUCCGCGCCACAUUAGCUAGUUGGUAAGGUAACGGCUUACCAAGGCAACGAUGCGUAGCCGACCUGAGAGGGUGAUCGGCCCCACUGGAACUGAGACACGGUCCAGACUCCUACGGGAGGCAGCAGUAGGGAAUCUUCCGCAAUGGGCGAAAGCCUGACGGAGCAACGCCGCGUGAGUGAUGAAGGUCUUCGGAUCGUAAAACUCUGUUAUUAGGGAAGAACAAAUGUGUAAGUAACUAUGCACGUCUUGACGGUACCUAAUCAGAAAGCCACGGCUAACUACGUG
RNAcentral lists this ribosomal RNA (497 nucleotides) under uncultured bacterium. Its description in RNAcentral is "partial 16S ribosomal RNA". It matches the Rfam family "Bacterial small subunit ribosomal RNA", at positions 28 to 507 of the family's 1533-position model. The record is from RNAcentral.